This is a non-coding RNA of Camellia sinensis, 1674 nucleotides long. NCBI's taxonomy places the organism in Eukaryota, Viridiplantae, Streptophyta, Magnoliopsida, Ericales, Theaceae. The record is from RefSeq and is a predicted model, not a curated record.
UUAUACCUCUGCCCUAACCCUUUUCACUCUCACACUCCCGACUGAUUUCCCCCAAAUUUGAUUUCGCUCGCUUGAUCGUCUGAAGAAAUUGGUUGUGAUCGAUUCUCAAGAACUGUGGGAUUGCUUGUGAUCAAUUUCGCUCUAUAGAUCACCAACGACAUUACAUGAUGUAGAUAACGUAAAGGUGGAAGGUGAUAACGACAUUAAGGAUAAUAAUAAUCAUGUACAAACAGCCAGUGGUGGCAGUGAGGUUGAUGGAAUGCAUGAUUCUGUUUCUUCCCCUGCUACAGUGGCUCACUGUCAGAUGAUUCAUGUCAUCCUGAAACUUCUGUAUCCAGGAUUAAUUCUGAGACUCAAGAUGUUGUGAUAUCUUCUAAUUUAAGGCCUUCAAAUUGUAUCAGGAAGGGAUCAGCUGGUGUUGUGCGUAUGAUGCUUCUAAAAUCAGACCAGAACUUGCAUGCACCAUUUACGCAAGUUGUUUUAGCUUCAGUAGACCAAGAUUAUUUUCCAGUUACUUUUUUUUAAUCCCUUUAAUUUUCAAUAGAAACAAUCUUGACUUGUUCUCUAUGCUUGUUACAGGAUGCACCACUUAUGAUAGAAGACAUGCAUGAGGAACGACUCAAUGCUGUAUAAGCCUUGGGUUCUUCAUUUGUGUAAACUCUUCAUCAUAUGUAUUAUGACUGUGGUGAAGAUGGCCAUUGUGGCCAUGUUAUUGAUAUGCAUAUACAUGUACAUGUUGAUAUUAUGACUGCUAUCACUAAUUAUCUCAAAGUAUAUUUGAAUGGUUGCAUCUUAGGUGUUUUGAUAAAGUGGUUAUCACUCCACUUGCAUUAACUUUGAUUCAAGUAAGGUGGUACCAGUUUACUUUCUAUUAACGUUGAUUUAAACCUUUCAUUUUUGCUGAUUUCAUAUAUGGACAAGGGUUCUUUCUUUGUGACAGUGAUUUAUUAUAUGAAUUAGUUGACGUAGACUGGGAUGGCCUUGGAUUUGCACUUACGCCUACUGAUUAUAUGUAUAUCAUGAAAUGUUCACAAGGGAAAAGCUUUACUAAAGGUGAAUUACAACGUUUCGGGAACAUUGAGUUGAGCCCAUCUGAUGGGGUAUUAAAUUAUGGGCAGGUUUUCUUUCAUUAAUCUUGAUUUUGUGUCGCCAAAAAUGGGACAAGGGCUAAGGUUCUUCUGAUAGCGAAUGAUACCAAUCAUAACUCAAGACUACAGUUGACAACAAGCAAAAAAAGAGUCAUAUGGUUUGAACAGGUGUCAGCAAUGCCCUCGGACACAUACAAGAGCCUUCACUGUUUCUGGAAAGUUAAAGCCGGAGGAAAUCGUUGGGGCUACAUUGUCUUCACUUUCAGAUGAGUUUGUCGAUACUGUUGGUGUCGUAGCCUUGCCAUCUGAAGAUUCUGUUUCAGAAAGGAGGAAAUUGGAGUUCCUUGAAAUGCAAGAACUCAUCAAGGUUAAAAAUGCUAUCCAAAAAACACUAGAAGAUUUGGUGAACAUUGUGAAUUGAUAAGGUUGUUAGGUCACCAAACAUCUGAUCUCUAAUUUUUCUAAUUUUUUUUUUUUAGGUUCAUUUUAGUCGCAAUAUAUAGAAAAAUUGUUGUAGUAAGAAUUUUUUUACCUUUAUGGGGUUGGUAACUUUUAUGGGUAUAUAUAUGAGAUAGAUUGAUAUUUA